GUGUCAGCAGCCGCGGUAAGACGAACCGUGCAAACGUUGUUCGGAAUCACUGGGCUUAAAGGGCGCGUAGGCGGUCGACCAAGUCCGGGGUGAAAUCUUUCGGCUUAACCGGAAAAGUGCCUUGGAUACUGGCCGGCUGGAGGGAGGUAGGGGCAGGUGGAACUUCCAGUGGAGCGGUGAAAUGCGUUGAUAUUGGAAGGAACGCCGGUGGCGAAAGCGACCUGCUGGACCUCUUCUGACGCUGAGGCGCGAAAGCUAGGGGAGCAAACGGGAUUAGAUACCCCGGUAGUCC
This 292-nucleotide ribosomal RNA is filed under the name uncultured bacterium. RNAcentral describes it as "partial 16S ribosomal RNA". It matches the Rfam family "Bacterial small subunit ribosomal RNA", at positions 505 to 796 of the family's 1533-position model. The record is from RNAcentral.